GAUGAACGCUGGCGGCGUGCUUAACACAUGCCAGUCGAACGGGAAUUCUUUUAUUGAAACUUCGGUCGAUUUAAUUUAAUUCUAGUGGCGGACGGGUGAGUAACGCGUGGGUAACCUGCCUUAUACAGGGGGAUAACAGUCAGAAAUGGCUGCUAAUACCGCAUAAGCGCACAGAGCUGCAUGGCUCAGUGUGAAAAACUCCGGUGGUAUAAGAUGGACCCGCGUUGGAUUAGCUUGUUGGCAGGGUAACGGCCUACCAAGGCGACGAUCCAUAGCCGGCCUGAGAGGGUGAACGGCCACAUUGGGACUGAGACACGGCCCAGACUCCUACGGGAGGCAGCAGUGGGGAAUAUUGCACAAUGGGGGAAACCCUGAUGCAGCGACGCCGCGUGAAGGAAGAAGUAUCUCGGUAUGUAAACUUCUAUCAGCAGGGAAGAUAGUGACGGUACCUGACUAAGAAGCCCCGGCUAACUACGUG
RNAcentral lists this ribosomal RNA (478 nucleotides) under uncultured bacterium. Its description in RNAcentral is "partial 16S ribosomal RNA". It matches the Rfam family "Bacterial small subunit ribosomal RNA", at positions 28 to 507 of the family's 1533-position model. The record is from RNAcentral.